Molecule: long non-coding RNA, 296 nt
Organism: Talpa occidentalis (Iberian mole)
Lineage: Eukaryota; Metazoa; Chordata; Mammalia; Eulipotyphla; Talpidae
Exons: 3
Source: RefSeq, a predicted model, not a curated record
AAAACUUCUUAUCCAGUCUCUGCACAAAGGGAAGCAACCUAUUAUCUAUAUCCUGGACAAUUGGUGCAUUAUGUUUCAGCAGCUGUGAAAAAUUCCAAACGUGUUAGUUUGCUGUGAUUACAAACUUAUCUGUCAAGAAAAGGAUAAUCAGGAAAUAUCUGGAGUUCUGGAUAACAUUUGCAGUUGCCAGUGUUAGUCUAAUGAACACUCCAAAGAACUCCAAAAGUCCCAUGAACACAGUGGGUCAAAGGGGUCUGGAUGCUGCAUGCACCUGUUGUCCUUUGAAAAUACAGACU